This 497-nucleotide ribosomal RNA is filed under the name uncultured bacterium. RNAcentral describes it as "partial 16S ribosomal RNA". It matches the Rfam family "Bacterial small subunit ribosomal RNA", at positions 28 to 507 of the family's 1533-position model. The record is from RNAcentral.
GAUGAACGCUGGCGGCGUGCCUAAUACAUGCAAGUCGAGCGAACGGACGAGAAGCUUGCUUCUCUGAUGUUAGCGGCGGACGGGUGAGUAACACGUGGAUAACCUACCUAUAAGACUGGGAUAAAUUCGGGAAACCGGAGCUAAUACCGGAUAAUAUUUUGAACCGCAUGGUUCAAAAGUGAAAGACGGUCUUGCUGUCACUUAUAGAUGGAUCCGCGCUGCAUUAGCUAGUUGGUAAGGUAACGGCUUACCAAGGCAACGAUGCAUAGCCGACCUGAGAGGGUGAUCGGCCACACUGGAACUGAGACACGGUCCAGACUCCUACGGGAGGCAGCAGUAGGGAAUCUUCCGCAAUGGGCGAAAGCCUGACGGAGCAACGCCGCGUGAGUGAUGAAGGUCUUCGGAUCGUAAAACUCUGUUAUUAGGGAAGAACAUAUGUGUAAGUAACUAUGCACAUCUUGACGGUACCUAAUCAGAAAGCCACGGCUAACUACGUG